UGGCUACUGUGGGGUGGAAGGUCAUGAUCGGCGUAUAUGCACUAAAUUGGAAGAGGUGUCAAAUAUGUCUAUUUUUUAUUUUGUGUCUGCUUUACUCAUUAAUGUAGUGCACUAAUUAUAUUUGUUGUUGUGUAGGAAGUGAUGGGCUGAUGGCAGCAAACUGUUAGGUACAACUCUCUAUACAAGGGAUUUCAUGGUAGGAAAUUAUUGCGCUUGUGGUCCUGUUAUGAAGUUUUAAUUACUGCAAGUAUGACUGUGCUUCAAUAACAUCAGUGUUAGUUGUCAAUUCAUGUAUCAUAUUUGUCUUUUAUUAGUAUUAUUAGGUUGGCUUCCAUAUAUUUCUAAUAUAAAAACAAUUGUUGGUUGGCCGAGCAAAGAAUGAAACUGUCUGCAUGUUACUUAUUAAUAACUUGAAACGGACCACUGUUUUGAGAUGUACAGUAUAUGUUCACAGAAUUAUAAAAUUUCUGCAGUAUAUGAUGAUACUUUUUUCUGAAAAUGAGAUUGCAAUAUGUAGUUGAGAUCCGGUGUUGUAAUUGCGACAUCACACUUUCUGCCGACGCUAUGCAAUUUCUUGAACUUUUGUAAAUAUUUCUCCAUAUUCUUCAGGUGACCCGAAGUGGCAGGCAGCUACAUGCUGGUCUGCUGAGAAGAUCAAACGCACUAUGAAGAUCAAGCAGGCAGAGAAAAAAGUCUAUGGUUCUAGAUUCUCAAGCAAGGCAGAGAAGACUAAUGGUAGCAAGGCAGGGUGUGCUUGUCUCUACAAAAAACAUCGUAGAUUUAAUGGCAGCUGAUCAUGUAGUAAAUACAUCAUACUUGAAGACAUGUAGGAGGUUGAAGAUGAUGUUCGAUGAGUUAUUGGCUUUCAUGAGUAUGUAGUCAUUUCUCCGGUUGUUGUAAUUGAACACAUGCAUGUGUGUGUCUGUUUGUGUGCCGCUAUUAUCCCACUCCUCUAGGUUCUCUGCUUUAGUUUGUUGUGGUCAGCUAUUAGCCCCCUCCUAUAGAUUCAGAGUUCUUUUACAACCAAUCAGAGAAAGUUAGGUAAUAUUUAUGAUAGAUGGAGAGGUGAUCACAGAGCAGCCAAAAUAUAAUGUCCUGAAUGUCAAACAGAACAAAGCAGUCCCAAAACUGAUGCG
Molecule: long non-coding RNA, 1136 nt
Filed under: Triticum aestivum (bread wheat)
Lineage: Eukaryota; Viridiplantae; Streptophyta; Magnoliopsida; Poales; Poaceae
Description: long non-coding RNA (TAES_LNC002615)
Source: RNAcentral